This 915-nucleotide ribosomal RNA is filed under the name uncultured archaeon. RNAcentral describes it as "bacterial SSU rRNA". It matches the Rfam family "Archaeal small subunit ribosomal RNA", at positions 1 to 921 of the family's 1478-position model. The record is from RNAcentral. RNAcentral also lists the same sequence under 1 other name.
UUCCGGUUGAUCCUGCCAGAGGCUACUGCUAUCGGGGUCCGACUAAGCCAUGCGAGUUGAGAGGGGUAAGCCCUCGGCAUAUUGCUCAGUAACACGCGGAUAACCUGCCCUUGGGUUUGGGAUAACCCCGGGAAACUGGGACUAAUACCGGAUAGAUCAAAGAAACUGGAAUGUUCUCUGAUCGAAAGCUCCGGCGCCCAAGGAUGGGUCUGCGGCCUAUCAGGUAGUAGUGGGUGUAACGUACCUACUAGCCUACGACGGGUAAGGGUUGUGAGAGCAAGAGCCCUGAGAUGGAUUCUGAGACAUGAAUCCAGGCCCUACGGGGUGCAGCAGGCGCGAAAACUUUACACUGCGGGAAACCGCGAUAAGGGGACCCCGAGUGCCAGCACCUAGUGCUGGCUGUCCAGCUGUUCAAAUAACAGUUGUUAGCAAGGGCCGGGCAAGACCGGUGCCAGCCGCCGCGGUAACACCGGCGGCCCGAGUGGUAGCCGUUAUUAUUGGGUUUAAAGGGUCCGUAGCCGGCCUAUUAAGUCUCUUGGGAAAUCUGGCGACUCAAUCGUCAGGCGUUCAAGAGAUACUGGUAGGCUUGGGACCGGGAGAGGUGGGAGGUACUCCAGGGGUAGGGGUGAAAUCUCGUAAUCCUUGGGGGACCACCGAUGGCGAAGGCAUCCCACCAGAACGGGUCCGACGGUGAGGGACGAAAGCUGGGGGCACGAACCGGAUUAGAUACCCGGGUAGUCCCAGCCGUAAACGAUGCUCGCUAGGUGUCAGGUGCGGUGCGACCGCAUCUGGUGCCGCAGUGAAAACUUGAAGCGAGUCACCUGGGAAGUACGGUCGCAAGGCUGAAACUUAAAGGAAUUGGCGGGGGAGCACUACAACGGGUGGAGCCUGCGGUUCAAUUGGAGUCAACGCCGG